AGAGUUUGAUCAGUGGCUCAGGACGAACGCUGGCGGCGUGCUUAACACAUGCAAGUCGAACGGGCACUUCGGUGCUAGUGGCGAACGGGUGAGUAAAGCGCAGGUAAUCUGCCGCAAAGUCGGGGACAACGUCCCGAAAGGGACGCUAAUACCGGAUGUUGUGCGGAGUUCGCAUGGAUUCUGUACUAAAGAUUUAUCGCUUUGCGAGGAGCCUGCGUCCGAUUAGGUAGUUGGUGUGAUAAAAGCGCACCAAGCCGACGAUCGGUAGCCGGUCUGAGAGGAUGAACGGCCACAUUGGGACUGAGACACGGCCCAAACUCC
RNAcentral lists this ribosomal RNA (321 nucleotides) under uncultured Coriobacteriales bacterium. RNAcentral describes it as "bacterial SSU rRNA". It matches the Rfam family "Bacterial small subunit ribosomal RNA", at positions 8 to 339 of the family's 1533-position model. The record is from RNAcentral. Lineage: Bacteria; Bacillati; Actinomycetota; Coriobacteriia; Coriobacteriales.